Molecule: ribosomal RNA, 111 nt
Filed under: Sinocyclocheilus grahami
Lineage: Eukaryota; Metazoa; Chordata; Actinopteri; Cypriniformes; Cyprinidae
Source: RNAcentral
UAAAACAGCCAUAUCACCCUGCAGCCCAAGACUGGCCCACUGAAGCUGAGCAGGGCUGAGCUGGUCAGUAGCUGGAUGAGAGGCUCCUGGAAAACUGUGUUGCUGCUGGAA